RNAcentral lists this unclassified non-coding RNA (223 nucleotides) under Hevea brasiliensis (rubber tree). Lineage: Eukaryota; Viridiplantae; Streptophyta; Magnoliopsida; Malpighiales; Euphorbiaceae. The record is from RNAcentral.
GGGAUGGGGAUCAAUCAUGACAUCCGGUCUAAUGGCUAUUGAAUAAGCGGAAACCCCUCCCAAUGAAUGGGAAAUUUUUUCGGGUUUUACCCUAGACUUUAGGAAGUCAACCAAAAACAGCUAAGUUCCUAAAAUAAGUAAAUUCGGGCGUUUUUGGAUGGGAAGGAGCGAUGGAGGGACGAUAGAGCGCGCUCAAACCUCACCAUGUCUUACUUCAAGCCGC